This 254-nucleotide ribosomal RNA is filed under the name uncultured bacterium. RNAcentral's name for it is "partial 16S ribosomal RNA". It matches the Rfam family "Bacterial small subunit ribosomal RNA", at positions 524 to 776 of the family's 1533-position model. The record is from RNAcentral.
UACGUAGGGGGCUAGCGUUGUCCGGAUUUAUUGGGCGUAAAGAGCUCGUAGGCGGUUCGGUAAGUCGGGUGUGAAAUCUCCACGCUCAACGUGGAGGGGCCACCCGAUACUGCCGUGACUCGAGUCCGGUAGGGGAGCGUGGAAUUCCCGGUGUAGCGGUGAAAUGCGCAGAUAUCGGGAGGAACACCCGUAGCGAAGGCGGCGCUCUGGGCCGGUACUGACGCUGAGGAGCGAAAGCGUGGGUAGCAAACAGG